UGGGGAAUAUUGGACAAUGGGCGAAAGCCUGAUCCAGCCAUGCCGCGUGUGUGAAGAAGGUCUUCGGAUUGUAAAGCACUUUAAGUUGGGAGGAAGGGCAGUAAGCGAAUACCUUGCUGUUUUGACGUUACCGACAGAAUAAGCACCGGCUAACUCUGUGCCAGCAGCCGCGGUAAUACAGAGGGUGCAAGCGUUAUUCGGAAUUACUGGGCGUAAAGCGCGCGUAGGUGGUUCGUUAAGUUGAAUGUGAAAGCCCCGGGCUCAACCUGGGAACUGCAUCCAAAACUGGCGAGCUAGAGUAGGGCAGAGGGUGGUGGAAUUUCCUGUGUAGCGGUGAAAGGCGUAGAUAUAGGAAGGAACACCAGUGGCGAAGGCGACCACCUGGGCUCAUACUGACACUGAGGUGCGAAAGCGUGGGGAGCAAACAGG
RNAcentral lists this ribosomal RNA (429 nucleotides) under Pseudomonadota bacterium. RNAcentral's name for it is "Proteobacteria bacterium partial 16S ribosomal RNA". It matches the Rfam family "Bacterial small subunit ribosomal RNA", at positions 355 to 776 of the family's 1533-position model. Lineage: Bacteria; Pseudomonadati; Pseudomonadota. The record is from RNAcentral.